Molecule: long non-coding RNA, 309 nt
Organism: Impatiens glandulifera
Lineage: Eukaryota; Viridiplantae; Streptophyta; Magnoliopsida; Ericales; Balsaminaceae
Exons: 2
Source: RefSeq, a predicted model, not a curated record
AUUCUUCUUCCAGGCCUUUUCGAAGAGAAUUCACUAUGGGAAAUUUGUAGCAGAGGCUAAGUUUCGAGCUUCGCCCGAGGACUAUACAAGUGCAAUAAAAGCACAAGACCGAAAAUGGCUGAUGGAUUUACUUACAUAUCCAAUGGUUGAAGAAGCAGUGAAGAGAAGGGUGGAGAUAAAAUCGAAAACUCAUGGUCAAGAAGUGGUGAUUAAUCAGGGAGAUGAACUGGUUUCAGGUUCAGAUCCGAAUUACAGAAUAAAACCAAACUUGGUUGGGGAUUUGUAUGGAGAUUGGAUCAUGCCAUUGAC